Hyla sarda is the source of this 4314-nucleotide long non-coding RNA. RefSeq lists it as uncharacterized. The transcript is spliced from 2 exons. Lineage: Eukaryota; Metazoa; Chordata; Amphibia; Anura; Hylidae. The record is from RefSeq and is a predicted model, not a curated record.
UAGAGUGCGGCGCACUGACAUCGAGGGGGGGGGGGGGGGGAUAAAAAAAUAAAGUGACCCAAGGGGGGGGGGGGGAAAUAUAUAAUAAAAACAAUUCUACACAUAAAAGAAAUAAACUGGUGUCCCCUAAAGAAUUAGUAAAAACAGUGAAAAUAAAUAUUGGAGACUUAAGUUUUAUACUUUAAUGUGGUAAAUAAUACAAAGUAACUUAAACGGCGUAAUAUAGAUCAAAAGGAAAAUAAAAUAAAAUAGUAAAGAGCAUUCUUUUGAAACAUUUAAUAUCAGUCCAUAGCAAAUAGUCAUUACAUACCAAAAAGCUCUAAGUGUUAACUAGAUCCACCACAACUCCAGACAAAUCUCCACAACUUUAAAAUCUGAGAUCAAUGAAACGUUUAUUCGUCUUGAUCCCUGCAGCUUGGUUCGUAAUGCUUGAUGGUCUUUUUGUUUUUUCCAAAACUUUUUUUUUUUUCCCCCCCCUAAAACCUUUAGUCAUUUUUUUCAACUUUUUAAUUUUUAUUAUUUGUUUUUAAUUUUUUUUUUUUUUCAAGAUGCCAUUUGUCUGCAUCAGACCUUAAUACUAAACAUAUGAUUUUUUUUUUUUUUUUAUCCGGACCCAGGAGGGCGGAAAAAAAAAAAAUAAAAAAAAGUAAAUGAAAAAGUAAAAAUACAAAAAAAAAAAAUUAUUUUUUAAAAUAAAAGAAAAAAAAAAAAAAUGGUGUCGUAUGUAAAUUUUAGACUUAUAAAAAUAUAGUGGAGCCGUGAAACGCGGCACUGACCGUGCCGGAAGCUGUUGUUGGUUCCUUUGAUUUUUUUUUUUAAUGUAUUUAUUUUUAUUUAUUUUUUAAAUUAUUAUUAUUGCACAGAAAUUUUUACUGACUUUGGCGGGUCAGUCUCAUCCACAUUAUUCGGGAUGUCAAGGAAAAGGAGCAGGAUUUGGCAAGUUGUAAUGGCGGCUUUGUGUCCGACGUAGGGAGAGAAAAAAAUAUAUAUAUAAAAUGAUCGCUAAAUUGCAUCUGGGUAAAAGUCCUGUAAAAUUUCCAUAUUUAACCUGUGAGAUAGGGCCCCAAAAAGACAAAACAAAUACAAAAAAAAAAACAAAAAAAACAUAACCCUAAUCUAAAAAGGAAAGAGCGCAAUUUCUGUAACUAGAUUCAGGUUAUAUUUUGAUAUUUCGGGGGGGGGGGGGAAAUCACUUUAGAUUUAAAUUUAUUAAUUUUUUGGGAGCUGCCCAAAAUAGUUCACUUGUCUUGACCAGGGGCAGAAGAGACAUCUUAGUUGAACGUAAUACAGCAUUCGAUUACUUCUUUCGGAAACAGCGCCCCCCUUGUGCUCAGUUUUUUGGGUGGUAUUGCAGCUCAGUUCCAUUAAACAUAAAGGGUUACUCCAGUGGAAAACUUUAUUUUUUUUAAUCAACUGGUGCCAGAGAGUUAAACAGAUUUGUAAAUUACUUCUAUUAAAUAAAAAUAUUUUUUUUUUUAAUCUUUCCAGUACUUAUUUGCUGCUAAAUACUACAGAGGAAAAAUUAUUUUCUUUUUGGAACACAGUGCUCUCUGCUGACAUCUCCUGUCCAUUUUAGGAACUGUCCAGAGUAGGAGAAAAUCCCCAUAGCAAACCUAUGCUGCUCUGGUCAGUUCUCAAAAUGGACAGAGAUGUCAGCAGAGAGCGCUGUGGUCGUGAUGUCAGCAGAGAGCUCCGUGUUCCAAAAAGUAAAGAAUUUCCUCUGCAGUAUUCAGCAGCUAAUAAGUACUGGAAGGAUUAAGAUUUUUUUAAUAGAAGUAAUUUACAAAUCUGUUUAACUUUCUGGCACCAGUUGAUUUAAAAAAAAAAAAAGUUCCACCGGAGUACCCCUUCAAAAGGGGUACUCCAGCUUUCGGAACAGUUUUUUUUUUCUCAAAAAGCUGAACAGCGGAGUCGGGAGCUCGUGACGUCUUCGCCCCGCCCCCUCAAUGAAAGUCUAUGGAAAUGGGGCAUGGCGGCUGUCACGCCCCCUCCCAUAGACUUGCAUUGAGGGGGUGGGGCUAUGACAUCACGAGCUCCCAGCUCCAGCGGCUGGAACAGCCGAGUACCCCUUUAAUGGAGCGGAGUUGUAGUACCAGGAAUAGCCUGAGGACAGGUGUGGCGCCAUUUCUGGAAGAAAUCAGCUAGGUUAUCCAGCAUUAGAAAAACAUAAGGCAGUGCUUCCCAACCAGUGCGCCUCCAGCUGUUGCAUAACUACAACUCCUAGCAUGCUCGGACAGCCAGCAGUUGUAGUUUAGCAACAGUUGGUUGGGAAACACUGAGCGACGGAUUAUUAUCCUUGUGGAUUUUUUUUUCUGCACAAUGUGAAUCCGCCCCUAAAUAAAACUUUGUGAUAAACCUAAAUUAUUUAUUUUAUUAUUUUAUUUUUAUCAUAACAAAUACAGCACGUUCUCCUCUUAAGGACCUUGUAUAAUUAGUCGCUUGUCAUUUCAGGAGAUUUAUCUUAAUUUUAUUCCGUCCCUCUUAGAGACUGUCCAAGAUUAUACAAAAAAAAAAAAACAGUUUUCUUGCAUAAACAGCACCACUCCCGUCCACAGGUUGUGUCUGGUAUUGCAGCUCGGCUCCAUUGAAGUGAAUGGGACUGGGCUGCAGUACCGCACGCAACCUGUGGACAAGAGUGGUGCUGUUUUUGCAAAACGAAGCAGCGUUUUUUUCCCUAAUCCUGGACAGCCCCUCUAUCGUCAUCUUAUCUGGGGUGUAUAUAUACCCAGCAUGCACUGCUUCCAACGCAAACUAGAGGAGAGGAUUUAUCGAUAGUCCUUAUACAAGGAUGGAGCAUGUUCCGCAACAGUGGUCAGCAAAAUGGGUUGCAUUUAAUUAGACAAAAAAAUAAAAAAUUUAUAAAAAAAAAUAAAUAAAUUAUAAAAUAAAAUAGCCCAGUUAUCCAGAGGCAGGUACUGCAGCUCAUCUGAACGGUGCAAUACCACGUGGGGCACAUAGGUGGCGCUGUUUCUUAAAGGUAAAUCACAGAUUACUUGGAGCCAAGUAAAGGUAAAUCACAGAUUACGAUCAGAUGGAGCCAAGUAAUCUGCGAUUUACCUUUACGAUCAGAUGGAGCCAAGUAAAGGUAAAUCACAGAUUACGAUCAGAUGGCUCCAAGUAAAGGUAAAUCACAGAGUACGAUCAGAUGGAGCCAAGUAAAGGUAAAUCACAGAUUACGAUCAGAUGGCUCCAAGUAAAGGUAAAUCACAGAUUACGAUCAGAUGGCUCCAAGUAAAGGUAAAUCACAGAUUACGAUCAGAUGGCUCCAAGUAAAGGUAAAUCACAGAUUACGAUCAGAUGGAGCCAAGUAAAGGUAAAUCACAGAUUACGAUCAGAUGAUGAUCGCAGAUCAGAUACAAUACAUCAGAUAUAUAAAAUGAAAACCAAACACACUGCAGAUCUAAAUGCGGUGAACCUAUGGCCACUUGUCUUCUAUGGUUGCAGAAGAAAAAAAAAAAAAAAAAAACCACGCAAGGUGCGACGCCAUGCAAAGCCUUGGGUAUAUUCUCCAAAUAAGAGGCGGGCGCUGCCUGUGGUAUUGCAUAGAUUAGAUAUGUGUAACACAAAUGCACAGUCAGUAUCUGCGUCCCCCUUUACAUCUGGAGGGACCCGGCCAAAGGGGAUGGAUGUUAUAUGGACCAUACGUUCAUUACGCCGCCAUUUUGUUUUGCGCAUAACCUGCAUUAACAUAACACUUCCCAUGGUCGCGUCUUUAGAAAACAUAAAUCAGCGUUUUCCCAAGCAGGGUCCCUCCAGCUGUUGCAAAACUACAACUCCCAGCAUGCCCGGACAGCCAACGGCUGUCCGGGCAUGCUGGGAGUUGUAGUUUUGCAACAGCAGUUGGAAAACACUGACCUAUCUGAAUACCUAUAGGGCUCCCACUUACCAAUCGACAAAGUGUGUUAUCCAGGAUUAGAAAACCAGAUGAUUUCUUUCAGAAACGGCGCCACUCUUGCCCUCAGGUUAUGUGCGGUAUUACAGCUCAUUUUAAAAAAAGGGGUACUCCGGUGAAAAACUUAUUUUUAUUAUUAUUUUUUUAAUCAACUGGUGCCAGAUGGUUAAAUAGAUUUGUAAGUUACUUCUAUUAAAAAAUAUUUAUCCUUCCAGUACUUUUUAGCAGCUGUAAGCUACAGAGGAAAUUCUUUACUUUUUUUGUCUUGUCCACAGUGCUCUCUGCUGACACCUCUGUCCGUGUCAGGAACUGUCCAGAGCAGCAUAGGAUUGUUAUGGGGUUUUUCUCCUACUCAGCUGACACCUGAUUCCUGUAUAAGGGACUAUCCAGAGAGCACUACGGUCAGACAGAAAAGAAAUUAA